GCUGGGGACAUAGCUCAGUUGGUAGAGGGCUUGCCUUGCAUGCACAAGGCCCUGGGUUCGACCCCCAGCAGCA
Molecule: transfer RNA, 73 nt
Filed under: Marmota monax (woodchuck)
Lineage: Eukaryota; Metazoa; Chordata; Mammalia; Rodentia; Sciuridae
Description: tRNA.Ala
Source: RNAcentral